GUAGGUGAACCUGCGGAAGGAUCAUUAACACAUACAUGUACUAAACCCACAUGUAUUUUACCCCCCUUUGCAAACGUGUUUUUCUCCAGUCUUCCCGGGCGUGGUAGUUUUUUGGUGUGCUUCGUGCAAACCAAGCUUAAACGUCUGUGGUUUACAAAUUUAUUUAACCCCUUGAACUUUUUUUGACUGACAUCUGAGCCUUAAAACAGCUCUGCCAUUAUAUCAAAACGCUGAACAACUCUUAGCAACGGAUAUCUUGGCUCUC
This 265-nucleotide unclassified non-coding RNA is filed under the name rhizosphere metagenome. Its description in RNAcentral is "partial ribosomal RNA internal transcribed spacer region". The record is from RNAcentral.